GGGCCUUGCUUAUAUAGUCCUCCUCCUCUGUGCGUUUUUGGUUCAGCAGGCGAUGUGGUACUAAACUUUGCACCCUAUCUCAUUAAAAUGCACAUAGGCCUUAAUGGACCAAAAUCUGAUUUGGGCCCAAUUAAUCCCGCAGCUCUUUUAUGUGGAGUCCUUCUUUUAUUAAUAUCUCUUGAUUCCGAACUCCAAAUAUAGCAAAUAAUAUAUGCAUUUCGAUCAGCUCGACGAGAUCUUUGCAGUGGUGGACUCCAUUCUAUGAUUGGUGGAAACACCUGGACGGGCGCCCAAGGGGGGUGGGCGGGCGCCCUGCCCCCGGGCCCGUUUGCCUUCUCGUUCGUUCCCGUGGCUUCUGGAGUCUUCUAGAUGAUAGAAAAUUGCGCGGUGCGUUGAUAUCUCUAUGUAAUCCCGACAUAUGGGCCUUUCUUCCGUAUUUUCUGAUAACCCCCUGCAGAAAUAGACAAACACCAAAACUCAUGGAAUUCUGUCAGAUAAAACCCUAAGUCUAGAUGUUGAUUUCAUUUGGAUCCUUUUCUUUGUUUAUUUGAUAAUUAAAUUUGAUACUUAAGGACCGUCAACAAACUCCCCCAAGCUUACCUCUUGCUCGUCCCUGAGCAAGGAUGAACUCAAGAGUUUCUGCAGUGGUUUCAUUUCUUAAAAGUACACACGCAUUCAAGCAAGAUCUCAUCUCUGAGUUAGAAUAAACUGUUAAGACUUAAAACUUACUCAUUUUACCUUUUACCAUGGGGCUUGUAACCAUCACUUGUGUCUUGAGCAGUUAAAAGAUAGAACGGUCAAGUCAAGCGCCAUGUCUCUUAUUCUUGAUCAGCUAUAGCUCUGGGGUUUUUUUGCAGAUUUUCAAAUAAAACUCAGAGAUUCCUUAUAUGACUCUCUCAGAUCUCUCUUUUGUGGUAUUUAUGGAUCCUUACCAAGGCAGUAAUGGUAUAUGCCUUCUCUCAAAGUAUGUGGUAUUUUUGGUAUGAAGCAUAGUGAUAUUGCCUUCUCUCUCACCCUACUCUAAUAAAGUUCUGAUAUCUGGAGCUCAUAGGUGGGAGACAGCUAAUACAUACUUACAAGACAUUUAUUGCAUAGUCAAACCAUGGAUCUAGAGAAACAAAUCAAUAAGUCAAAUCAAGAUGUGCAUGUGUGGCGAUAAUGAUGUAUGGUGAUGAUGGUGAUAAUGAUGGUGAAAGUCUAAUUCUAUUUUUUAUGCUCUUUUGAGGGGAUACAUACCUUUCUUGUACUUUGAAGCUUUUUAGGGAGAAUGAGAUGCUCUAUAUUUUCUUUUUCUUUCCUCUCAGGUGGGUAUCUUGUACCCCUAAUUCUACUGUCGGACACUUGUCCAUUUUUACCUCUCGUCUCACUUUUUCUUUUCUUCGAGGUUCCGGGCACUUGCCCCUUUUAAUUUCCUCGUAUUAUUAUUAUUUUUUUCUUCUUCUUUUUUUUAGAGCACUCAUCUCCUGAAAUAAUAUAGCAAGUGGUAGUAACCAAGAUAAAUCGAGCAUUUAUUUCACAGAGAAUAACAGGGAUAGGAAAAUAUUUUUGGCUAUUCUCUCCCAGAUUAGGAGUAGAAUAAUUUUGGGUGAAUCUGGAGAUGGAAAUGAGUGGAUAUAUAUGGAUGGUACUUUCGGAGUAGAAGUAGCAUGUAUGAGUGAACGUGCAAGUGAAUCUUGAUUUUAACCACAUGACAAGCUCCUAAGGGUCUACACAGCUUGACCACACUCAAUUCUCAUAAGCAGUAAAAAGUAAAUAUGUGGCUCAAAGUCUAGCAAGUAUGUAUAUAUGGCUGUGGUAGGAUUUUAAACUCUCAUCAUACAGGAACUCAUCAUGUGUUAUUUUAAAGAUUUUUUAAAGAUAAAAUUCUCCAGAAUUCUAGCAUCUCUAGGAACAGAUAAACAGCAGCUCAACCUUCCCAUAUCAUAUCCGUUAACGACUUAGACUUUAGAUCAAGUACUCUUCCCACAAGUUCAGGUUUAGAGCAAAUCUUACUUCAUAACAGUCAUGCCUAAACUUGAGAGAGAUUUCAAUUUUAAGAACUAGUCAUGGCAGAGCAACUAUUCAUCAUUUCCAUGUGAGAGUUUAUCAUGAGGGUUCAUAGCAAACUUUAUUUAUUUAUUUAGCAAACUAAGCAAAGAUAUAUAUAUAUAUAUAUAUAAAAGCACAAAAUCUUUAUUUGGGUUUUCAUGAUUAUGAAUCUUUUAUUAUUUGAGUAAAGUAUAAACGCGAGUAGAAACACUUAGCUGGAUAAAUGGAGGUGCUCUCCCCCAAGCUGGAUUUUGACGUAAUUUCUUCUGAUGUAGCUAGCAGGUGGCGGAGGUGUAUUUGAAUGUCGGUAGCACCCUGACAGCGAUUAGACUGUCCUCCGUCUGCUAGUCUUCUUGAUUCUUAAAUUCUGUAGAGCUCAAAUAGACAACAAAGCUUUGUGGAACUGGUUAAGUGUUAGCAUAAAUAUCUAGCCUUUAUCAUGUUGAGCCUCCUCAAUAAAUAUUACUUAUUUAGCAGGAUUAUGCAUUUAUUAUUUUUAUAUUUUUAUUGUAAGAUGAAAACUUCUUUAUUUUAUUUUUAUGCCACCACAGUGAAUGUACUUAUGGGUUUUAUGCCAUGAGCAUACUCACAUGGGGCUUACUAUUUUUUUAACAUUUUUAUUUUCUUUUCAAGAUAGCAUGAACCUGAUUAACUAAGCAAACUAUAGAAUGGAAAAGGAUAACUACCAAUUUUACCUCUUGGCAAGGCGUUCGAUGUUUUUAAGUCCUCCGAGCGGGAUUCCUUGUGUUUUCGGUUGUCCUGGGAUUCGCUAGGUGGCGUAGUCGGUGAUUUCGGCGGCGCCUCUUCUUUGUGUGUAACUAUCUUCUCUCUUCACACCUAACUCGGUGCUACGGUCUCCUCAGGAUAGUUAUGUUCAAGUGGUAUGUCUUCAGUCCUUAUUACUUCUCCUUCGUAGUCUACCCAUCUGUCCUUGAUGAUUUGCCUCCUCUGGUUGUGGUUGCGUUGUCUUCUUCUUGUCCUGACCUGCUUAGAAUCUUCAAUUAUAUAGUUAAGGUCAGUAAAAUAGCGGCGUACCUUCUCUGAGGGGAAGUACAUGUGGACUUCUCCGGUUCCAAUGUAGAUGAUAACAUUGAUAGUGUUGAGGAACGGUCUUCCAAGGAUGAUGGGUGGAUCGUACUCGUCUUCUCCCAUGUCAAUGAUCUGAAAGUCAUCUGGAGCUAAAUAUAUAUUGGUUGUAGGAGCAUGGUUCCAUGCAGGAGCUGAUAAGUGACUGCGGCCAUUAUGUUGACGUUAGAUCCGGUGUCGUAGAGUGUUUUCUGAAAAGAGUAUUCAUUGAUUGUGCACUCAAUGCUUGGAACACCAGGGUCGUCCUUCUUGAUCAAGAAAGGUGACUUGAGUCGACGAUCUUGACCUCCUUGAGCUGUAGUGACCAUCUUAGCGGACUCGGUCCACAUUUGCUUGUUCUUGUUCCUCCUGUUGGUCCUCUUCCUUGGUUCAUGUCAGGAUUGCUCUGAAGUUUGUCUAGUCUUGUUCUUGAAGGAAAAUCUCCUCCUUGAUGUAGAGACUGAUCUUGGCAGCAUUAGCGUAGAUGACAGCUCUGGUGUUUAGAAAUGGCCUCCCUAAGAUGAUGGGUGCCCUCUCCUCAGUACCAGUCUCUAUCACCGCGAAGUUUGCUGGAGCGUACAAGGUACCAACUCGGACACAGAGGUUCUUCAAUAUUUCCUUUGGGAAACUAAGUGUCUGAUCUCCAUUGUGUUUGUGCUCAUAGAUCCCGGUUCUUCACUUGGUGGAAUCUGGGAGUUGUAAAACUCCUCCAUGUUUUGUUUGAAGUGUACCUAUUCAUAAAGACAAGGCAGAGAUCAAGUGCAUGGGCCCUGUUGGUGGAAAACACCAACAGAACCAAAAGUGUAUUUGUUCUUCUCUAACCUUAAGCAUAGUGAGCAAGACAAAGUUUGAUAGAUAAUAAGAUCAUGAGUGUAGUAUUUAAAACAUUUGUCAGAUCAGAUUGAUCGACCUAAUGGAAAGAUAAUCUUCCCAAAGAUUGAAUGUGUAACAUUUUAGCUUAUAUGCUUAGGAGUGUGGGAUCACGAAGGUAGUACUAAGAACAAGGACUAAACAUGUUGAUUUAAUUGAGUUGGU
RNAcentral lists this long non-coding RNA (4128 nucleotides) under Sorghum bicolor (sorghum). RNAcentral describes it as "long non-coding RNA (SBIC_LNC010336)". Lineage: Eukaryota; Viridiplantae; Streptophyta; Magnoliopsida; Poales; Poaceae. The record is from RNAcentral.